RNAcentral lists this long non-coding RNA (321 nucleotides) under Homo sapiens (human). RNAcentral describes it as "HSALNT0082078". Lineage: Eukaryota; Metazoa; Chordata; Mammalia; Primates; Hominidae. The record is from RNAcentral.
CAAAAAAAAUCUAGGCAAAGCAUUCCUCCCUAGUAAUGGAGAGAAAAAGCCAUGUGGCUUAGGAAGCUACUAUGGAACAAUAGGUGGUCCAGUCCCAUUUUUCAGCGCACAGUCAAAACCUCGAGAAAAAUACAAGGCACCUGGAAAGAAUUUAUACACAAACCCGGGAAAGAAAGGAACUGGAUAUGGAAAGCGAAUGAAGAGCACCAUCGUUUACUUAAAGGAGCACCAUUUAAGUUAAAUCUUCACCCAAGGGACUAUUUUGACGCUAAUCCUUAUUUUUCUGAGGAAUCUUUACCACCAAUUAAAAAAGAAGAGAAG